UACGUAGGGGGCAAGCGUUGUCCGGAGUUACUGGGCGUAAAGGGCGCGCAGGCGGUCCCUUCAGUUCGCACUGACAGCGGCAGGCUCAACCGGCCGAGGCGUGCGAAGACGGGGGGACUUGAGGGCUUCAGAGGGACAUGGAAUUCCAGGUGGAGUGGUGAAAUGCGUAGAGAUCUGGAGGAACACCAAAGGCGAAGGCAGUGUCCUGGGAAGCAUCUGACGCUCAGGCGCGAAAGCCAGGGGAG
RNAcentral lists this ribosomal RNA (245 nucleotides) under uncultured bacterium. Its description in RNAcentral is "partial 16S ribosomal RNA". It matches the Rfam family "Bacterial small subunit ribosomal RNA", at positions 524 to 768 of the family's 1533-position model. The record is from RNAcentral.